GGAACCCUGCAGAGAGAGACGAGACGAGGGCAUCAUGACGUUCCCCAUCCAUCAGACCAGCGCGUUCAAUCUGAGGAGAGUCUGAGUCUAAAGCCCAUAUGGGGUGAAGCGCUCAGUGAGUCUGCUCUGAUUGACUGCCGCUGUAUGGGACUAUUUCCAUUUUAGACUUUAGCUUGCGGCUUCUCUGCCUUGAUUGGUCCAGGAUAUCAAUCUUUCAUGGCCAGCAUAAGGAUGUACACAAUGCUAUCAUGGGUGACCCACAGAUUCUGCCGCAGUGAAUCCUGCGUGUGUUUGCCGUGUGAACCGGGAGGACUCUUACUCUGGGAAGGUGCCGUGCUCCUGCAGAGAGGAGAGGCAGUAGAGCAGGAUCAUGCAGCUGGUGAGCAGAGUGCCCAGGACCAAGCCCUUGCACAUCGACCUCCAUUGUCUUCCUUGCUUGCCGACCAUGAUCCAAAUUACCUUCAAAGACACGGAACACAAGACAACAUCAGGAGAAGAAGAAGGAGAUUUACACCGACGCACGAUUAUCUUUGCAGAGGUGGGACCUAUGAGGCAGCACUGUUUCUGAAAGAGUAGUGAGCCCAUGGGUACUGCAGGGGUCGGCUCACCAGACACCAUGGCACCAGGCCUCAGAUCUGGAUGUGAUCGAAACACAUUCGGAGAGGAUCUUUCCUGUUUUCUGGAGCAGGGACAGUAUAGAUGAGCCGAGAUGGCGUGCCUUUUGAAACAGUCACUUAAGCCCUACUGGGUUCUCUGUCCACUGGCCCCAGACUGAAUAAUGUAUCUGUGUGUAAAGCGAUCCUGUUCGGGCGCCAGUCGGCCUUCUGGUCUGGUAAUAGGAAGACCUCGUCUCUCGUAACAGAUUCUCCUCCUCAUAACGAUUGAGACCUAAUAUGUCCAAGAGCUUAUGCUGCGACAAAGAAAUAAAUAAAUAUGUUACUGAGACAGAUUAUAGUCUAAAGAUGGUCUAAUACAGGGGUUGGAAAUACUUUUCAAACACAAUUUUUUUCCGCUGUCUGUCUUUCAUUUGAAUGCUCUGAAGUGACAAUGAACCCUUUAUAGAUUGUAUAUGGUACUAAGAAAAUAACCAAUUAUUGAGAAAUGGUCCUGUGUUUUAACAUGCAUUCAGUGGAAAGCUAAUUGCUUUCUGCAUACAUGCUUCUCUUGGGAAUCAAACCUGCGUCAGGCAGGUGUCAGGUAUAAAUGAUAUUCUACCACUCCCUUCAGCUGACAUUGCUAACCUUUGGCAUAUCAUUCAGUAGUCAUGAUAAAUGGAUUCAGAUUUAGCAUUUCAAUGAUGAUGACCUUAUAAAUAAUGAAACACUGCUAU
This is a long non-coding RNA of Gadus macrocephalus (Pacific cod), 1330 nucleotides long. RefSeq lists it as uncharacterized. The record is from RefSeq and is a predicted model, not a curated record. The transcript is spliced from 2 exons. Lineage: Eukaryota; Metazoa; Chordata; Actinopteri; Gadiformes; Gadidae.